Hippocampus comes (tiger tail seahorse) is the source of this 904-nucleotide long non-coding RNA. RefSeq lists it as uncharacterized. The transcript has 2 exons. NCBI's taxonomy places the organism in Eukaryota, Metazoa, Chordata, Actinopteri, Syngnathiformes, Syngnathidae. The record is from RefSeq and is a predicted model, not a curated record.
UUUUUUUUCUCGAUACCACACUUUUGCACUUGUAAACACGCGGCCAGUCUGUAUAUUUAAGUUUGUAAAGUGUUACGUGCGGACUUGCAAUGCGUUCGGGGGGGUUGUUUUUUUUUUAUUUGUGCAGGAAAAUGCAAGGCGCCGCGUGGCGGGUGAGUUGAUUUGGUCCUCUUCAAUAUGUGUCGUUUUCCAAGUGCAAUUCUAUAUGGAAAUGUGAUUUUUAUUUAUUCUUCGCAUUAUUUUCUCCCGCUGCGUAACGUGCAGAGGACUUGAUGUGUAUGGAUUGUACUUUUGUUCUGUACUUAAUCAGGUGCUUUACUUUUUAAAAAUAUUAAAGAAUAUGGCCUCUAUUGAUUUAAUUGGAGUAUUUUUUUUUUUUUAAUAUUAGAUGAUUAUUGUGGCGAUGGCGCUUUAUAUUCCGAAUCAAAUAACAAAGCUAUUCACUGAAUGACUGCAGAGAUUUAUUCUAACAUAACAAAUUUUUGUUUUUGAAAUGAGAAUGUAUGUUCAACUUGGACUUUCAUUGUGGCCCCACUAGGAAAGCACAACUAAAACAAAACUCCUGCUUGAAAAGCCAUAAUGCUCCCUGGAAACAAGUGCUCCUAUUUUUAAAAAAAAAAAAAAAAAAAGUAUUUUGUAUGAUGUCAUUUGUAAAUGUGUGAACUUUCGAGAUCAUUUUGUUCCCCUGUGCUUUGUUUCAUUUUGAUAUGCGCAAAAUAAGCAUGACAGUAUUUUCUCGCUCUUCAGCUUUUUUUUCGGGUGGGGGGGGUGACAAUUGCAGGCGAGGACGCGUGUUUGGAGAUGGCGUAAUUUCUAUGUCGUCUGUGUGACUGCACUGUCAGUGGCACUGGUUGCUUUGCUCUUUACAACUUGCAAUAAAGUUUAUUUUUGCAUACUCGCAGCA